This 572-nucleotide long non-coding RNA is filed under the name Homo sapiens (human). Its description in RNAcentral is "non-protein coding lnc-ZNF723-3:1". Lineage: Eukaryota; Metazoa; Chordata; Mammalia; Primates; Hominidae. The record is from RNAcentral.
CAGAGAGGGAAGCCUGAGCUGCAGGAGAAAAGCCUGCAGGCCUCCUGGGGAGAACUGCACCUUCACAUUAAUGGAAAUUGGAACAGUAAUUCAGCCUCAGUUUUUAUUUACAAUGGUGACAUGGAAAAACCACUGCUGGAUUUCCAACAUGAGUCCAGACAGAGAUAGCUCCAAAAGUUCCCACUGUGACAGCCCACCUCUUUUACAGACACCAGGGAAUACUUACAAUGCAGACACCCAAAGCACUGGACAGAAAAACAGCUCUCAGUCUGAGCAAGAUUAUGCUGAGAGGAAAAAAGAAGUUAAAACCAUCUUAGGUAAAAACUCAGUUUAGACGUAAGAUUGAUCAAGUCAGCCAGAAAAUACUAUCUUAAAAAGAAUUUCUCUCUCAACAAGCAAAAUACACAACUACUCUCAGCAUGAGAAACAUGAGCAUUACGAAGAAAAGGGGCAUAUUCUCAGCAGAAUUUUAGAAGGUUUCUCUUCCAUCUCUGCUGCUCUCUCAUCUCCUAGCCAUUGAAUGGGGGUUCCAUAUUGAAAUACAUCUCACAAUUUCCACCAGCACUUUUUGA